CGUAGGUGGCAAGCGUUGUCCGGAAUUAUUGGGCGUAAAGCGCGCGCAGGCGGUCUUUUAAGUCUGAUGUGAAAGCCCCCGGCUCAACCGGGGAGGGUCAUUGGAAACUGGAGGACUUGAGUGCAGAAGAGAAGAGCGGAAUUCCGCGUGUAGCGGUGAAAUGCGUAGAGAUGUGGAGGAACACCAGUGGCGAAGGCGGCUCUUUGGUCUGUAACUGACGCUGAGGCGCGAAAGCGUGGGGAGCAAACAGGAUUAGAUACCCUGGUAGUCCACGCCGUAAACGAUGAGUGCUAAGUGUUAGAGGGUUUCCGCCCUUUAGUGCUGCAGCUAACGCAUUAAGCACUCCGCCUGGGGAGUACGGCCGCAAGGCUG
Molecule: ribosomal RNA, 372 nt
Filed under: uncultured organism
Description: bacterial SSU rRNA
Rfam family: Bacterial small subunit ribosomal RNA
Source: RNAcentral